RNAcentral lists this ribosomal RNA (376 nucleotides) under uncultured bacterium. RNAcentral describes it as "bacterial SSU rRNA". It matches the Rfam family "Bacterial small subunit ribosomal RNA", at positions 524 to 898 of the family's 1533-position model. The record is from RNAcentral.
UACGUAGGGUGCGAGCGUUAAUCGGAAUUACUGGGCGUAAAGCGUGCGCAGGCGGUUUGAUAAGACAGGCGUGAAAUCCCCGGGCUCAACCUGGGAACUGCGUUUGUGACUGUCUCACUAGAGUACGGCAGAGGGGGGUGGAAUUCCACGUGUAGCAGUGAAAUGCGUAGAGAUGUGGAGGAACACCAAUGGCGAAGGCAGCCCCCUGGGUCGAUACUGACGCUCAUGCACGAAAGCGUGGGUAGCAAACAGGAUUAGAUACCCUGGUAGUCCACGCCCUAAACGAUGUCAACUAGGUGUUGGGAGGGUAAAACCUUUUAGUACCGGAGCUAACGCGUGAAGUUGACCGCCUGGGGAGUACGGCCGCAAGGUUAAA